AGCGUAGACGGCUGUGCAAGUCUGAAGUGAAAGGCAUGGGCUCAACCUGUGGACUGCUUUGGAAACUGUGCAGCUAGAGUGUCGGAGAGGUAAGUGGAAUUCCUAGUGUAGCGGUGAAAUGCGUAGAUAUUAGGAGGAACACCAGUGGCGAAGGCGGCUUACUGGACGAUGACUGACGUUGAGGCUCGAAAGGCGUGGGGAGCAAACA
RNAcentral lists this ribosomal RNA (208 nucleotides) under uncultured bacterium. RNAcentral's name for it is "partial 16S ribosomal RNA". It matches the Rfam family "Bacterial small subunit ribosomal RNA", at positions 568 to 774 of the family's 1533-position model. The record is from RNAcentral.